CACGAAGUUAGCCGGGGCUUCUUCUCCGACUACCGUCAUUAUCUUCAUCGGUGAAAGAGCUUUACAACCCUAGGGCCUUCAUCACUCACGCGGCAUGGCUGGAUCAGGCUUGCGCCCAUUGUCCAAUAUUCCCCACUGCUGCCUCCCGUAGGAGUCUGGGCCGUGUCUCAGUCCCAGUGUGGCUGAUCAUCCUCUCAGACCAGCUAUGGAUCGUCGCCUUGGUGAGCCAUUACCUCACCAACUAGCUAAUCCAACGCGGGCUCAUCUAUCCCCGAUAAAUCUUUCCCCCGAAGGGCGUAUAGGGUAUUAGCACAAGUUUCCCUGAGUUAUUCCCUAGAGAUAGGUAGAUUCCCACGCGUUACUCACCCGUCUGCCGCUCCUCUUGCGAGGCGCUCGACUUGCAUGUGUUAAGCCUGCCGCCAGCGUUCGUUCUGAGCCAGGAUCAAACUCU
Molecule: ribosomal RNA, 451 nt
Filed under: uncultured Brucellaceae bacterium
Lineage: Bacteria; Pseudomonadati; Pseudomonadota; Alphaproteobacteria; Hyphomicrobiales; Brucellaceae
Description: partial 16S ribosomal RNA
Source: RNAcentral